This 273-nucleotide ribosomal RNA is filed under the name uncultured prokaryote. Its description in RNAcentral is "partial 16S ribosomal RNA". It matches the Rfam family "Bacterial small subunit ribosomal RNA", at positions 524 to 796 of the family's 1533-position model. The record is from RNAcentral.
UACGGAGGGUGCGAGCGUUAUCCGGAAUCACUGGGUUUAAAGGGUGCGUAGGCGGUUUGAUAAGUCAGUGGUGAAAGGCCGUCGCUUAACGAUGGGACUGCCAUUGAUACUGUUAGACUUGAAUCAGGAUGAGGUUGGCGGAAUGUGGCAUGUAGCGGUGAAAUGCUUAGAUAUGCCAUGGAAUACCGAUUGCGAAGGCAGCUGACUGGACCUGAAUUGACGCUGAGGCACGAAAGCGUGGGGAGCGAACAGGAUUAGAAACCCUAGUAGUCC